RNAcentral lists this ribosomal RNA (426 nucleotides) under uncultured bacterium. Its description in RNAcentral is "bacterial SSU rRNA". It matches the Rfam family "Bacterial small subunit ribosomal RNA", at positions 355 to 773 of the family's 1533-position model. The record is from RNAcentral.
UGGGGAAUUUUGCGCAAUGGGCGAAAGCCUGACGCAGCAACGCCGCGUGGGUGAUGAAGGUCUUCGGAUCGUAAAACCCUGUCGUCAGGGACGAAGGUUCUGGGGUGAACAGCCCCAGGAUUUGACGGUACCUGGAGAGGAAGCCCCGGCUAACUUCGUGCCAGCAGCCGCGGUAAUACGAAGGGGGCUAGCGUUGCUCGGAAUUACUGGGCGUAAAGCGCACGUAGGCGGACCGAUAAGUCGGGGGUGAAAUCCUGGAGCUCAACUCCAGAACUGCCUUCNAAACUGCCGGUCUUGAGUUCGGGAGAGGUGAGUGGAACUGCGAGUGUAGAGGUGAAAUUCGUAGAUAUUCGCAAGAACACCAGUGGCGAAGGCGGCUCACUGGCCCGAUACUGACGCUGAGGUGCGAAAGCGUGGGGAGCAAAC